GACGAACGCUGGCGGCGUGCUUAACACAUGCAAGUCGAACGGAAAGGCCCUGCUUGCAGGGUACUCGAGUGGCGAACGGGUGAGUAACACGUGGGUGAUCUGCCCUGCACUUCGUGAUAAGCCUGGGAAACUGGGUCUAAUACCGGAUAGGAGCCAUUUUUAGUGUGAUGGUUGGAAAGUUUUUUCGGUGUAGGAUGAGCUCGCGGCCUAUCAGCUUGUUGGUGGGGUAAUGGCCUACCAAGGCGGCGACGGGUAGCCGGCCUGAGAGGGUGGACGGCCACAUUGGGACUGAGAUACGGCCCAGACUCCUACGGGAGGCAGAAGUGGGGAAUAUUGAACAAUGGGCGCAAGCCUGAUGCAGCGACGCCGCGGGGGGGAUGACGGCCUUCGGGUUGUAAACUCCUUUCGCUAGGGACGAAGCUUUUUGUGACGGUACCUAGAGAAGAAGCACCGGCUAACUACGUG
RNAcentral lists this ribosomal RNA (465 nucleotides) under uncultured bacterium. RNAcentral describes it as "partial 16S ribosomal RNA". It matches the Rfam family "Bacterial small subunit ribosomal RNA", at positions 28 to 507 of the family's 1533-position model. The record is from RNAcentral.